CCCUUAGAUGUUCUGGGCCGCACGCGCGCUACACUGAUGCAUUCAACGAGUCUAAAACCUGCUCUGAUAGGGGUGGGUAAUCUUUUGAAUGUGCAUCGUGAUUGGGAUAGAUGAUUGCAAUUUUUCAUCUUCAACGAGGAAUGCCUAGUAAACGCAAGUCAUCAGCUUGCAUUGAUUACGUCCCUGCCCUUUGUACGCACCGCCCGUCGCUCCUACCGAUUGAAUGAUCCGAUGAAUAUCAUGGAUUGAGGAUUAUAGCAGGUUCGCCUGUCUUGAUCUUCGAGAAGUGAAGUAAAUCUUAUCAUUUAGAGGAAGGAGAAGUCGUAACA
This 329-nucleotide ribosomal RNA is filed under the name uncultured eukaryote. Its description in RNAcentral is "partial 18S ribosomal RNA". It matches the Rfam family "Eukaryotic small subunit ribosomal RNA", at positions 1470 to 1796 of the family's 1831-position model. The record is from RNAcentral.